Molecule: long non-coding RNA, 846 nt
Organism: Ictalurus punctatus (channel catfish)
Lineage: Eukaryota; Metazoa; Chordata; Actinopteri; Siluriformes; Ictaluridae
Source: Ensembl
GUUAGAGUGUGUGUUAGUGUGUGUUUUAGAGUGUAUGUUAGAGUGUGUGUUGGAGUGUUGGUUAGAGUGUGUGUUAGAGUGUGUGUUGGAGUGUUGGUUAGAGUGUGUGUUAGAGUGUGUGUUAGAGUGUGUGUUAGAGAGUGUGUUAGAGUGUGUGUUAGAGUGUGUGUUGGAGUGUGUGUUGGAGUGUGUGUUAGAGUGUGUGUUAGAGUGUGUGUUAGAGUGUGUGUUAGAGUGUGUGUUGGAGUGUGUUGGAGUGUUGGGUAGAGUUGUGUUUGGAGUGUUGGUUAGAGUGUGUGUUGGAGUGUGUGUUAGAGUGUGUGUUAGAGUGUGUGUUGGAGUGUUGGUUAGAGUGUGUGUUGGAGUGUUGGUAGAGUGUAUGUUAGAGUGUGUGUUAGAGUGUGUGUUGGAGUGUUGGUUAGAGUGUGUGUUAGAGUGUGUGUUGGAGGGUUGGUUAGAGUGUGUGUUGGAGUGUGUGUUAGAGUGUGUGUUAGAGUGUAUGUUAGAGUGUGUGUUGGAGUGUUGGUUAGAGUGUGUGUUGAAGUGUGUUGGAGUGUUGGUUAGAGUGUAUGUUAGAGUGUGUGUUAGAGUGUGUGUUGGAGUGUUGGUUAGAGUGUGUGUUAGAGUGUGUGUUGGAGUGUUGGUUAGAGUGUGUGUUGGAGUGUGUUGGAGUGUUGGUUAGAGUGUGUGUUGGAGUGUGUUGGAGUGUUGGUUAGAGUGUGUGUUAGAGUGUGUGUUGGAGUGUUAAUUUACUGUGCAGAAGUGUGUGUUAGUGUUUAAAAGUGUGUAUCAGUGUGUAGAAGUGUGCGCUAGCUGCAGAACCUCAGUGGUAUACUAUUUACAGAG